AGUAGAAUUUGAUAAAUUCUUAAUUUAUUUUAGGAAAAAUUUCAAAAACUCCCCUUGCGGUUUCAUUUUUUCUCACUUUAGCACCAUGUGGUUUAAAGUAUAUCAAGUUAGUAUCCUGUGGUUUCGCACUUUCUCACUUUAAUUAGUAUCAUGUGUUUUAAAGUGUUUCAAGUUAGUAUCCUGUGAUUUUGUACUUUCUCACUUUAGUAUCCUGUGGUUUAAUAUUUCAUUCGGAGAAAAAUAAAAACCACAGGGUAUUAACUUGAUACAAAAAUAAAUCCACAUGAUACUAAUUUGAUAUAAAAAUAAAAUCACAGAGUACUAAUUUGAUACACACUUGAAAUCACAGGGUACUAAAAUAAAAAAGUGCGAAAUCAUAGAAUAUUAACUUGAUACACUUUAAACCAUAGGGUAUGAAAAUAAAAAAGUGCGAAACACACGAGGUGUUUUGGAAGUUUUUUCUUUUUUUUUUAUAAUUAAUAAAAAUAUUUGAUAGUGAAACAAUUAUUUAAUACUUGAGGUAAGUGUA
RNAcentral lists this long non-coding RNA (529 nucleotides) under Ananas comosus (pineapple). Its description in RNAcentral is "long non-coding RNA (ACOM_LNC025390)". The record is from RNAcentral. Lineage: Eukaryota; Viridiplantae; Streptophyta; Magnoliopsida; Poales; Bromeliaceae.